UUCCCUCUAUUUUUUUUGUCCCUGUUCAUUUUUAGCGCCUUUUCGUUUUUAGCUAGUCUCCCACACUUUCUCUCUUUCUCUCAGACACCGAAAAUCUCCUCACUGUCUCAUCUCUAUCACUACCCACAAACCCACAGCCACAGCCACCACCACCACCACCUCCCAACCCCCAACCACAGCCACCACCACCACCCAAAAAUCGAGCCUAGUUAGGUCCAAAAACAAAUGGGUCAGGUCUAGCCCGACCCAUUUCUCUUAUCAUUUCUAACCCUAACGGUUCAUACCCCUAAUCUAGAACCUUCCCUCUUUUUGCUAUCUCAUCCGAACUCUCUUGACAGAAACCCAUGGCUUGAGCUACCUGAUCUCAUCACCUCAAAUCAACACUGCCACCACAUGAGGCGGCUUGCUCCUCAUCAAAAACCCUUACCGAGAUCUCUCUAAUCUAGGACCGAAAGACUGGUCAAAAGAGCAAAAGAGGAAGUCCUCAAGCGGCAUCCCAUUUCCCCCACCAACACAAGAGUAAAUUAACACGGUUGAAUUUGAAGGAACGAAAUUGAAAAAUCUUUGCCCCAUUUCGUGUUUUCAUUGCCAGAGAGGUGUGUAUAAAUAUUCAUAAUCAUAUCUGUAAUCUGUGUUGAUUUUUUCAAUGACAUUUGGGCUGUGGUUUUUGGGUUUUUCUUCUUGGCUAUUAAAAUUGAAU
This is a long non-coding RNA of Quercus robur (English oak), 700 nucleotides long. RefSeq lists it as uncharacterized. The transcript has 3 exons. NCBI's taxonomy places the organism in Eukaryota, Viridiplantae, Streptophyta, Magnoliopsida, Fagales, Fagaceae. The record is from RefSeq and is a predicted model, not a curated record.